This 1150-nucleotide long non-coding RNA is filed under the name Sus scrofa (pig). RNAcentral describes it as "lncRNA (ENSSSCG00055024833.1)". The record is from RNAcentral. Lineage: Eukaryota; Metazoa; Chordata; Mammalia; Artiodactyla; Suidae.
GGGGGGGCUGGGUUCUUUGGGCCGCAGCAGCAGGCAUUCUCGCUUUGCCUCCUUGGCGUGUGCCUUGUGGGCGGUCCCUCCCCGAAGUGGGGGAGGCCUCCCUCGCUGCCAUGCUUUGCAUCUCUGCGGGUGCAUGAGUGUGCCUCCCCUGGUCCUCUGUGGUGCCCCUGGAGUACUCCGGGUUGCCUGUCAGAUGCCCGAGGCCGAGCGGUGGUGUCGUUUUCCUCUCCCAGCGGUGAGUCCCCUCGGGUCCCCACUGUGGUGGUGGUGUGCCCCACGAGCAGACCCCCCCCUUCUGGCUUCCCACUUUUUGGGAGUGUGUUCCCACUCCUGUGGGUCCCCGAAGGGGCGAGCGAUGGUGUGUGGGGCACUACGCGCCCUCGGUGAGAAAGUCUUCUCUAGCGCUCUCAGAGGGGGGCCUUGGGGUACCUGGACUUCAGCUACUCCUCUGAAGUCUGCAGGCAGUAGCUGCCUACUUGCCACAGUGUGUGGGCAAGAGCCGCCCUUGUGCGAGGUGUGCGCUGGCCCCCCCAUGGUGGGGGCCAAGCACUGCUCUUUUGCCUAAUGCGGCCUGUGCCUCCCCCCUCCGAGUUGGGGGAGGGUCACGCCGGCCAGGCCGGGUUUGGCGUCCAGCGCCAGGCUGUGUGCUGCGUCUCAAGUGGUGCCCCUCCCCUUGGAAUGAAUCCCAUGUUGCCAUGAGCUGUGGGUAGAGGAGAGUGAGAAGGAGAGGGAGGGAGGGGGAAGGGAAGGGAGGGAGAGACCCUCCAUUUCAUGGAACUGGUUUCCUUGUUUUGAGACGACGUCGCUUUGUUGAAACAGUUGUCAGAUGGCCUCUCAAAAGGCGGUGAUGUGGAUGGGCUCCCCGAACCAGGCCCACAGAAACCAAAGGAACAAAGGGGUUAAUUCUUGGAGCCACAAUUCCCUCCUCUGAAACUGAAACCAAGCUCAAGCCCUGGAGUGCUGGUGUGUUGGAGCCGGAGACAUUGUUACAGCUAAAAGCUACUUUGAAAUAGUCUCCAUUAGGUUACGGCUUGCCUUGGCCCAUGAACUUAUGAACUUAUGACUAAUGACUACUGUCGAGUCAGAGUUGUAGUGAACCUGGUGUUUUCUCUACCCUUGAAACACUCCCUAAGGAUGCCCCCCCCCCCCC